Molecule: vault RNA, 102 nt
Filed under: Dasypus novemcinctus (nine-banded armadillo)
Lineage: Eukaryota; Metazoa; Chordata; Mammalia; Cingulata; Dasypodidae
Description: Vault RNA (ENSDNOG00000039392.1)
Rfam family: Vault RNA
About the family: This family of RNAs are found as part of the enigmatic vault ribonucleoprotein complex.
Source: RNAcentral
GGGUCGGCCUUAGCUCUAGCGGUUACUUCGCAUGUUUGUUGGAAUUGUUCAACAUCAACCUCCCACGAGGUUCGAGUCCCGCGGGCGCUCUCCGACCCUUUU